Molecule: transfer RNA, 56 nt
Filed under: Macropostrongyloides mawsonae
Lineage: Eukaryota; Metazoa; Nematoda; Chromadorea; Rhabditida; Strongylidae
Description: tRNA-Thr
Source: RNAcentral
GCUAAUGUAGUUUAAAUUUAGAAUGUGUAACUUGUAAUUAUGAGGUUAAAUUAGCA